GAUGAACGCUGGCGGCGUGCCUAAUACAUGCAAGUCGAGCGAACAGACGAGGAGCUUGCUCCUCUGACGUUAGCGGCGGACGGGUGAGUAACACGUGGAUAACCUACCUAUAAGACUGGGAUAACUGCGGGAAACCGGAGAUAAUACCGGAAAAUAUAUUGAACCGCAUGGUUAAAGAGUGAAAGACGGUUUUGCUGUCACUUAUAGAUGGAUCCGCGCCGCAUUAGCUAGUUGGUAAGGUAACGGCUUACCAAGGCGACGAUGCGUAGCCGACCUGAGAGGGUGAUCGGCCACACUGGAACUGAGACACGGUCCAGACUCCUACGGGAGGCAGCAGUAGGGAAUCUUCCGCAAUGGGCGAAAGCCUGACGGAGCAACGCCGCGUGAGUGAUGAAGGUCUUCGGAUCGUAAAACUCUGUUAUUAGGGAAGAACAAAUGUGUAAGUAACUAUGCACGUCUUGACGGUACCUAAUCAGAAAGCCACGGCUAACUACGUG
RNAcentral lists this ribosomal RNA (497 nucleotides) under uncultured bacterium. RNAcentral's name for it is "partial 16S ribosomal RNA". It matches the Rfam family "Bacterial small subunit ribosomal RNA", at positions 28 to 507 of the family's 1533-position model. The record is from RNAcentral.